This 465-nucleotide ribosomal RNA is filed under the name uncultured bacterium. RNAcentral's name for it is "partial 16S ribosomal RNA". It matches the Rfam family "Bacterial small subunit ribosomal RNA", at positions 338 to 795 of the family's 1533-position model. The record is from RNAcentral.
CCUACGGGGGGCAGCAGUGGGGAAUAUUGCGCAAUGGGCGAAAGCCUGACGCAGCGACGCCGCGUGAGGGAUGAAGUUCUUCGGAUCGUAAACCUCUGUCAGCAGGGAAGAACGGUCACUGUGCUAAUCAGCAGUGAAUUGCCGGUACCUGCACAGGAAGCACCGGCUAACGCCGUGCCAGCAGCCGCUGGAAUACGGAGGGUGCGAGCGUUAAUCGGAAUUACUGGGCGUAAAGCGCUCGUAGUCGGUAUGUCAAGUCAAGGGUGAAAUCCCCGCGCUCAACGUGGGAACUGCCUUUGAAACUGGCCAACUAGAGUGUGUGAGAGGAUAGUGGAAUUCCAGGUGUAGGAGUGAAAUGCGUAGAUAUCUGGAGGAACAUCAGUGGCGAAGGCGACUAUCUGGCACAUAACUGACGCUGAGGAGCGAAAGCGUGGGUAGCAAACAGGAUUAGAUACCCGAGUAGUC